Molecule: ribosomal RNA, 460 nt
Filed under: uncultured bacterium
Lineage: Bacteria
Description: partial 16S ribosomal RNA
Rfam family: Bacterial small subunit ribosomal RNA
Source: RNAcentral
CCUACGGGAGGCAGCAGUGAGGAAUAUUGGUCAGUGGACGAGAGUCUGAACCAGCCAAGUAGCGUGAAGGAUGACUGCCCUAUGGGUUGUAAACUUCUUUUAUAUGGGAAUAAAAUGUUCCACGUGUGGGAUUUUGUAUGUACCAUAUGAAUAAGGAUCGGCUAACUCCGUGCCAGCAGCCGCGGUAAUACGGAGGAUCCGAGCGUUAUCCGGAUUUAUUGGGUUUAAAGGGAGCGUAGGUGGAUUGUUAAGUCAGUUGUGAAAGUUUGCGGCUCAACCGUAAAAUUGCAGUUGAAACUGGCAGUCUUGAGUACAGUAGAGGUGGGCGGAAUUCGUGGUGUAGCGGUGAAAUGCUUAGAUAUCACGAAGAACUCCGAUUGCGAAGGCAGUUCACUGGACUGCAACUGACACUGAGGCUCGAAAGUGUGGGUAUCAAACAGGAUUAGAUACCCCUGUAGUC